UAAACCACCACUUCUAUCAGUCUAGGUGGUUAUAAACCACCACUUCUAUCAGUCUAGGUGGUUAUAAACCACCACUUCUAUCAGUCUAGGUGGUUAUAAACCACCACUUCUAUCAGUCUAGGUGGUUAUAAACCACCACUUCUAUCAGUCUAGGUGGUUAUAAACCACCACUUCUAUCAGUCUAGGUGGUUAUAAACCACCACUUCUAUCAGUCUAGGUGGUUAUAAACCACCACUUCUAUCAGUCUAGGUGGUUAUAAACCACCACUUCUAUCAGUCUAGGUGGUUAUAAACCACCACUUCUAUCAGUCUAGGUGGUUAUAAACCACCACUUCUAUCAGUCUAGGUGGUUAUAAACCACCACUUCUAUCAGUCUAGGUGGUUAUAAACCACCACUUCUAUCAGUCUAGGUGGUUAUAAACCACCACUUCUAUCAGUCUAGGUGGUUAUGAACCACUUCUAUCAGUCUAGGUGUUUAUGAACCACUUCUAUCAGUCUAGGUGGUUAUAAACCACCACUUCUAUCAGUCUAGGUGGUUAUAAACCACCACUUCUAUCAGUCUAGGUGGUUAUAAACCACCACUUCUAUCAGUCUAGGUGGUUAUAAACCACCAC
Molecule: long non-coding RNA, 613 nt
Organism: Oncorhynchus gorbuscha (pink salmon)
Lineage: Eukaryota; Metazoa; Chordata; Actinopteri; Salmoniformes; Salmonidae
Exons: 3
Source: RefSeq, a predicted model, not a curated record